RNAcentral lists this unclassified non-coding RNA (376 nucleotides) under soil metagenome. RNAcentral describes it as "partial contains 5.8S ribosomal RNA, internal transcribed spacer 2, and large subunit ribosomal RNA". The stretch from base 1 to 120 matches the Rfam family "5.8S ribosomal RNA", at positions 35 to 154 of the family's 154-position model. The record is from RNAcentral.
GAUGAAGAACGUAGCGAAAUGCGAUAAGUAAUGUGAAUUGCAGAAUUCAGUGAAUCAUCGAAUCUUUGAACGCAUCUUGCGCUCCUUGGUAUUCUGAGGAGCAUGCCUGUUUGAGUGUCAUUAAAUUCUCAACUACACUGACUUUGUAUUGGUGUGGCUUGGAUUUGGGGGGAAAAUUGUUGUGGGCUUUUUGUAUAGUCUGCUCCCCUGAAAUUGAUUAGCGGUACCUUUGUGGAACUGUCUACAGGUGUGAUAAUUAUCUACAUCUUAGACAUCUGCUGGAAUGCUGCUCUCUAAACCUUACUUGUAUUGACAAUCUUGACCUCAAAUCAGGUAGGACUACCCGCUGAACUUAAGCAUAUCAAUAAGCGGAGGA